AACGCUGGCGGUAUGCUUAACACAUGCAAGUCGAACGGUAACAGAGGUAGUUUACUAUUUGCUGACGAGUGGCGGACGGGUGAGUAAUGCAUGGGAAUUUGCCUAUUAGUGGGGGGCAACGUGUGGAAACGCACGCUAAUACCGCAUACGCUCUUCGGAGGAAAGCAGGGGAUCUUCGGACCUUGUGCUAAUAGAUAAGCCCAUGUCGGAUUAGCUAGUUGGUAGGGUAAAGGCUUACCAAGGCGACGAUCCGUAGCUGGUUUGAGAGGAUGAUCAGCCACACUGGGACUGAGACACGGCCCAGACUCCUACGGGAGGCAGCAGUGGGGAAUAUUGGACAAUGGGGGCAACCCUGAUCCAGCAAUACCGCGUGUGUGAAGAAGGCCUUCGGGUUGUAAAGCACUUUCAAUGGUGAGGAAACGAAUAAGGUUAAUAUCCUUAUUAAUUGACGUUAACCAUAGAAGAAGCACCGGCUAACU
RNAcentral lists this ribosomal RNA (479 nucleotides) under uncultured Gammaproteobacteria bacterium. Its description in RNAcentral is "bacterial SSU rRNA". It matches the Rfam family "Bacterial small subunit ribosomal RNA", at positions 32 to 502 of the family's 1533-position model. Lineage: Bacteria; Pseudomonadati; Pseudomonadota; Gammaproteobacteria. The record is from RNAcentral.